GAAAAAACAAAGCAGGAUGGCUGGGCUGUAGGGAUCUGCAGAUGCUGUUUUGUGAUCGUGGAAGACGUUUGGAAGGGUGAGGAGUGGGGCAGUCACCCGGGCAGGAGCACUGAGGGCGAGAUCUCAUUGGCGCUUCUCUCCAUUUUGGAAGGCCACCUUGUGCUGUAGAGCAAGGCUCAGCCCUCCACUUCAAGGAAUCAACUCUUCUGCUUCAAUUGACAUUUAGUGGGUGUUGCAAAUGCAACUUAACUUUGACUCUGACUUUUCCUCUGAAAAAUGGCUGUGGCUUUCAAUCUGUGGGAAGUCCGUCUUAGUCAGAAUCGAAGCUAUUUUCAGCAUAGAGUGUACCUAGGUCUGGGCUUAUACAAAGGUGCCUUUGUAGUGCAUUCUCCUGGAAACUCCUGGGACAGAAUUCAUCCAGGAAAAGAGAACCCAGGCCCCAUGAGUGGCCCACAGCAGGUGUCUUGGAGUCAUAAUCUAGCAACCUGCCUCUCAGGGCCCAUCUCUCAGAUUUCCUUCUGGUUCAGCCACGGGGACGCCUGAAAGUCUGUUCAAGAGCAGCUUAUCCAGAAUCUAGGUGAGACCUAGAAGCCCACGUCACAGCAGCAUUGGAACCCACAUUGUAGAAUGUCACCCCAGGAGAAACAGAGGGUUCUCCCCAGUGACAGAGAAGGUGGAGUGCUUUGGUGCCACUUUGGGCAGUUUGGGGCAGCUUUGGCAGCCUGUGGCUUCAGUGGCAGCAGCCACCGGGGAGGGUGGCAUUGGCAAUAGCAGGAGGUCAGACACACAGUGGCUUUAUGGAACCCUGUGUGGCUUGAUCAUACCUUUUCAAUCUGUUGAUGCACUUUCAUGGGCAUGAGCAACUUCUGCUGUAGUUCUUUCUAGAAAUCCAGGGCUAUAGAGGAAAAAAUGGUGUACCCCCAGGCUAGCUGAGAGGACAGUCUCCCGAGUACAUACCAGAUACCUCCAAAGGACUCCCAGAAACUGUUGGGGGGACUUUGAAGAUGGAGAGGGCUAAGGGGCCUGCAAUAGCAGGCUGGAAAAAAUUACGGAUAUUGUGUGUGAACCUCUUUCCCUCAGGCCAGUGCUUCCUGAGAGACUAGGCUUACACACAGAUUAAGAACAGGUGAGGUUUUCUUUUUCCACUUUUUCACAGCAUCCCUGGCAUUCCAUUUGGUAAUGAGCACAAGCUGCAGCAGCAAUGACGGAAUGGUCUUCUGACAUCAUCCCUGCCCAUUUAUUGGUUUGACACUUGUUCGGCUCAAUGCAGCCUGUUGAGGCCUCUGCAGAGUCAGUCUGUUAGAGCCUGUCAGCAUGAGGGGAUGUGUGCUUCCAGAGCUGAUAGUACAAACAGGAAAUGUUGGAUUGAGUUUUGUUAGAAGCCUCAAAGCUGAGAACAGUACAACGGUUGCCCAGGACAGCCUCAUCUGGAGCAAGGGGCUAGACUCCCCACUUACAGAACAUGCUCAUGAAUUGUGAAGCUUGUCCUGCCAGCUUCAGCCCAAGAGCCGUGCCUAGGCUAUAGAAGAAGAGAUGAAAGAGGUUAAUAGAAAACUUAACUCAAUCUGGAUGAAACAAGUGGAAUUUGUUGCCUCUUAGCCAAUAAAAUGGAAGUCCAAAGGUAUUUAUGGAGCAUUGUUUUAUGGUGAUGAAUAGGACAGGGAAAGCCUCUGUUUUCAUGGUGCUCAUACGUUCAAGGAAGAGAGUCACCAAAUUCUGGAGGUGUUCAAUCAACAGUUGUUAAACGAGGGAUGAUGAUCUCAUAUAGACCUACAGAAUCUCAGAGCUGAGGAUUAUCAACCACAUUAUACAGAAAGGUCGAGUCACUUGACUAAGGAGGACGAUGAGCCAAGAGCGCAGUUGGAGUUCAGUCAGAUGGAGCAUUCCUGGUGCUGCCUCCUUGCGUGAAAGAUAUUGUCAUGAGAAAGUCACAUGCAAAUGAAGGAGGCUGUAAUUAGGAGAGGAAAAAUAACAUCACCAUGGGAGACGUUGGCUGAGAGGUUCAGGAAGAUUUGUGCACUGAACAAAGGUUGCAGUCUCUCUGUAUGGAAGACAUCAGGAACUAUUCCUCUCAUGACUUUAUUAAAUUGGCCUGAAUUAUCAGCAACUGUGAUCCCUCAGUCCAGGAGAAGAAAGCUUCUUAAAGAGCAGCCCUAUAGAGAGGCCCAAGCAGCAAGGAGCUGAUAUCUCCAGCCAACAGCCAACAAGGACCUGUGGCCUGUCUGCAGUCAUCUCAGGUUUUUCUUUGACCAGUGACAUGUGCAUCCAUGGAAGGAAGGAACUGAUGGUGAACGUAUUUGGAGAUUAUCUACCAUGGCUAACCUGUCGGCCAGGAUUGAC
This 2340-nucleotide long non-coding RNA is filed under the name Equus asinus (donkey). RNAcentral describes it as "lncRNA (ENSEASG00005031185.1)". Lineage: Eukaryota; Metazoa; Chordata; Mammalia; Perissodactyla; Equidae. The record is from RNAcentral.